UAAAAUACUUUGCCAGUUAGUCCUGAUA
This 28-nucleotide non-coding RNA is filed under the name Cricetulus griseus (Chinese hamster). The record is from RNAcentral. Lineage: Eukaryota; Metazoa; Chordata; Mammalia; Rodentia; Cricetidae.